This 419-nucleotide ribosomal RNA is filed under the name Artemia amati. Its description in RNAcentral is "partial small subunit ribosomal RNA". Lineage: Eukaryota; Metazoa; Arthropoda; Branchiopoda; Anostraca; Artemiidae. The record is from RNAcentral.
UUCAACAGGGGUGAAAUCUGGAUAUACCAUGAAUUUUUUGAUUAAAGUACCUUUUAGGUGGUCAAAUGACUAGGAUUAGAUACCCUAUUAGUCCACUCUUAAUUAACCUGGGUAGUAGUAUCGAAACCUAAAGAAUUUGGCGGUUUCUAAACCUACUAGAGGAACCUGCCCCAUAAACGACAAUCCACGAAAAAAUUCACCCGGGCUAGUUAUGCAGCUUAUAUACCGUCGUUUAGAGGACUAAAUAAAUAGAUCCUCUUAAAAGCUUAGGCUAAUAAAUCAGAUCAAGGUGUAGCUUAUGCCCGGGAGAGGGUGGGUUACAAUGAAAAUUCAUACGGAGUUUCUAUUUUAUGAUAGAAAAGAAGGUGGAUUUAGAAGUAAGACCUAAUACACUGAAAAAGGCUCUCAGAAAUGUACAC